Molecule: ribosomal RNA, 449 nt
Filed under: uncultured bacterium
Lineage: Bacteria
Description: partial 16S ribosomal RNA
Rfam family: Bacterial small subunit ribosomal RNA
Source: RNAcentral
AAUGAACGCUGGCGGCAGGCCUAACACAUGCAAGUCGAACGGAUCCUUCGGGAUUAGUGGCGGACGGGUGAGUAACGCGUGGGAACAUACCCUUUGGUACGGAAUAGCCUCGGGAAACUGGGAGUAAUACCGUAUGUGGUCGAGAGACGAAAGAUUUAUCGCCAAAGGAUUGGCCCGCGUUGGAUUAGGUAGUUGGUGGGGUAAUGGCCUAACAAGCCGACGAUCCAUAGCUGGUUUGAGAGGAUGAUCAGCCACACUGGGACUGAGACACGGCCCAGACUCCUACGGGAGGCAGCAGUGGGGAAUCUUAGACAAUGGGGGAAACCCUGAUCUAGCCAUGCCGCGUGAACGAUGAAGGCCUUAGGGUUGUAAAGAUCUUUCAGGUGGGAAGAUAAUGACUGUACCACCAGAAGAAGCCCCGGCUAACUCCGUGCCAGCCGCCGCGGUAA